AGUUGAUCAUCAUGUGAAUGCAGAGAAGCAGGAAAGGAGGAGGGCUGAAACUGCACGUCAGAGGUGAUUUCACAAUUGUACUGAUGCUGUUGUGUGUAUAAAGAACGAUCAGCAGCUUUCAGCCAGCCAAACGCCGUCUAUACACACGAGGAAGAGAUGGAGACUAUGAAGACUCUGCUGAAGGUUUAUCUGCUGCUGCUGAUCGGACCUCCCUUCACUCUGGAACAAUCAGUGGGCCAGUACAUCACCGAGCUCCAGGUGUCUCUGGAUGAAGCUGAAGAGACGUAUCUUAGCAGUCAAGGUUUCAUCAAAAUCAAUGUUGAUCUGAACAAAGGAGCUGAAGGAAAAUACAUCUACCUUUGGUACAAAAAAGGCAGCAGCUCACCAAUCACCAGGAUUCAGCUUACAUUCAAUCAUGGCAUGAGCAGGGGUCUGAUCACUGCAGGUUACCAGAAGAUUAACAAGAACCUCAAUGCCGGAACAAGCGGAGACUACAUCUACCUGUGGUACUACAGAGGUAACUCAGAGUACGAUGUUCCCAUUGUGAACCUUCAUGUCUCUAUAGAAGCAAGAGAGGAAGCCCAGAUGUUUGCAUUUGGAUGGGAGAGACUGGCCUGUGAUCUGAACCGGAAAGCUAGAGGAAAAUGGAUCUACCUGUGGGUGAAGAGGGAGAGACCAACCUACAUCUGUGACAUCACUGCCAAUGCUGACUAUGAUGGAGAUGCUGACUACUUCCAGAACGGCUACAUCAGAGUGGAUGAAGAUACCAACAGAGGUGCAGGAGGAUCCUUUGUCUUCAUCUGGUACCGUCAGACCACGAACUCUCAAAGAGCCAUCACAGAUCUGCAGAUCUCCAUUAAUGAUAUAGAGAAGAAGUGGUUUCCGUAUAUGGGCUUUACAAGGGUAACUACUGAUCUAAGCAAGGGGGCAGGAGGAAGUUACGUGUACCUGUGGUACAAGAAAGACUCCGGUCUUCCCGUUCGGGCGGUCUCUGUGAUCGUCAACACAGCAGCUGUGGAGCAGUACAGAUAUCCCAGGGUCUUCAUUAGACAAAAAAACCUCAACAGUGGGAACAAAGAGCACUGAAACACCUGAAAGACAUCUGUGUAAACGAGGACAUAAAUGGAAGACUGGGCUGGGUGAGUGGGACAGAUCUCAGUGCUCACAGUUCAUA
Molecule: long non-coding RNA, 1174 nt
Organism: Oreochromis aureus
Lineage: Eukaryota; Metazoa; Chordata; Actinopteri; Cichliformes; Cichlidae
Source: Ensembl